RNAcentral lists this ribosomal RNA (240 nucleotides) under uncultured bacterium. RNAcentral describes it as "partial 16S ribosomal RNA". It matches the Rfam family "Bacterial small subunit ribosomal RNA", at positions 114 to 354 of the family's 1533-position model. The record is from RNAcentral.
CGCGUGAGUAACCUGCCCUGGGUGGGGAAUAACAGCUGGAAACAGCUGCUAAUACCGCAUAAUGCAGUUGGGCCGCAUGGCUCUGACUGCCAAAGAUUUAUCGCUCUGGGAUGGACUCGCGUCUGAUUAGCUAGUUGGUGGGGCAACGGCCCACCAAGGCGACGAUCAGUAGCCGGACUGAGAGGUUGGCCGGCCACAUUGGGACUGAGACACGGCCCAAACUCCUACGGGAGGCAGCAG